RNAcentral lists this transfer RNA (73 nucleotides) under Megalops atlanticus (tarpon). Its description in RNAcentral is "tRNA-OTHER". The record is from RNAcentral. Lineage: Eukaryota; Metazoa; Chordata; Actinopteri; Elopiformes; Megalopidae.
AGCACAGUGGCUCAGUGGUUAGUACUGUUGCCUCACAGCAAGAAGGUCCUGGGUUCGAAACCCAGCUGUCCCA